UUGAACGCUGGCGGAAUGCUUUACACAUGCAAGUCGAGCGGCAGCGCGGGGGCAACCCUGGCGGCGAGCGGCGAACGGGUGAGUAAUACAUCGGAACGUACCCAGUUGUGGGGGAUAGCCCGGCGAAAGCGGGAUUAAUACCGCAUAAGUCCUGAGGGAGAAAGCGGGGGACCGUAAGGCCUCGCGCGAUUGGAGCGGCCGAUGUUCGAUUAGCUAGUUGGUGGGGUAAAGGCCUACCAAGGCGACGAUCGAUAGCUGGUCUGAGAGGAUGAUCCGCCACACUGGGACUGAGACACGGCCCAGACUCCUACGGGAGGCAGCAGUGGGGAAUUUUGGACAAUGGGGGCAACCCUGAUCCAGCCAUGCCGCGUGAGUGAAGAAGGCCUUCGGGUUGUAAAGCUCUUUCAGACGGAAAGAAAUCGGGCGCGUGAAUAGCGUGCCUGGAUGACGGUACUGUCAGAAGAAGCACCGGCUAACUACGU
Molecule: ribosomal RNA, 482 nt
Filed under: uncultured bacterium
Lineage: Bacteria
Description: bacterial SSU rRNA
Rfam family: Bacterial small subunit ribosomal RNA
Source: RNAcentral